RNAcentral lists this ribosomal RNA (999 nucleotides) under uncultured Ascomycota. RNAcentral's name for it is "eukaryotic LSU rRNA". The stretch from base 351 to 999 matches the Rfam family "Eukaryotic large subunit ribosomal RNA", at positions 1 to 664 of the family's 3401-position model. Lineage: Eukaryota; Fungi; Ascomycota. The record is from RNAcentral.
AUCGAUGAAGAACGCAGCGAAAUGCGAUAAGUAAUGUGAAUUGCAGAAUUCAGUGAAUCAUCGAAUCUUUGAACGCACAUUGCGCCCUCUGGUAUUCCGGAGGGCAUGCCUGUUUGAGUGUCAUUAAUCUCUCCCCAGAUCGUCCAUUUGUUUGGGCGAUCUGUCGGUCUUGGGACAUGCGAACCUCCCGCAAGGGUAGGACGCUCUCCUCAAAUGUAUUGGUGCGGCCCGCCGCCCGGUUACACAACGUUCUAGGUUCGCCCAACUCGUUGCCCUGCCGGUUGCAAUCUUGGUUGCUGCACCUAAAGCCCCGCCUCGUGCCUCGUGCUCUUGGUAGAAACUUCAUUUAUUGACCUCAGAUCAGGUAGGAAUACGCGCUGAACUUAAGCAUAUCAAUAAGCGCAGGAAAAGAAACUAACUAGGAUGCCUUCAGUAACGGCGAGCGAAGCAGGCAUAGCUCAAAUUUGUAAUCUGGCGCCUUUGGCGUCCGAGUUGUAUUUUCUAGAAGCGAGUUCGGCGACAGCUCCUGCCCAAGUCCGUUGGAACGCGGCGUCAUGGAGGGUGAGAAUCCCGUGAAUGGCAGGAUGUCUGCUGCUAUGUGAACCGCCUUCGAAGAGUCGAGUUGUUUGGGAAUGCAGCUCUAAAUGGGAGGUAAAUUUCUUCUAAAGCUAAAUAUUGGCCAGAGACCGAUAGCGAACAAGUAGAGUGAUCGAAAGAUGAAAAGAACUUUGAAAAGAGAGUUAAACAGUACGUGAAAUUGUUGAAAGGGAAGCGCUUGAGAUCAGACUUCCUGUCUGGACUGUCCUUGCUUUUGCUUGGAUUCCCAGUCCAGGCGUGGAGGCCAGCAUCAGUUUUGACGGCCGGAUAAAGACACUCGGAAGGUAGCUCCCCUCGGGGAGUGUUAUAGCCCUGUGUAAAUACGGCCAGUUGGGACUGAGGACCGCGGCUUUGCCUAGGAUGCUGGCGUAAUGGUCUUAAGCGACCCGUCUUGAAACACGG